Molecule: ribosomal RNA, 509 nt
Filed under: uncultured bacterium
Lineage: Bacteria
Description: bacterial SSU rRNA
Rfam family: Bacterial small subunit ribosomal RNA
Source: RNAcentral
AGAGUUUGAUUCUGGCUCAGGAUGAACGCUGGCGGCGUGCUUAACACAUGCAAGUCGAACGAAGCAAUUAAGCGGAAGUUUCGGAUGGAAGCUUAAUUGACUUAGUGGCGGACGGGUGAGUAACCCGUGGGUAACCUGCCUUAUACUGGGGGAUAACAGUUGGAAACGACUGCUAAUACCGCAUAAUAAAGAAUAUCGCAUGAUUUUCUUUUGAAAUAUUUAUAGGUAUAAGAUGGACCCGCGUCUGAUUAGCUAGUUGGUGAGGUAACUGCUCACCAAGGCGACGAUCAGUAGCCGGCUUGAGAGAGUGACCGGCCACAUUGGGACUGAGACACGGCCCAAACUCCUACGGGAGGCAGCAGUGGGGAAUAUUGCACAAUGGGGGAAACCCUGAUGCAAGCGACGCCGCGUGAGUGAAGAAGUAUUUCGGUAUGUAAAGCUCUAUCAGCAGGGAAGAUAAUGACGGUACCUGACUAAGAAGCCCCGGCUAACUACGUGCCAGCAGCAGC